UUUUACACAGUGUAUUUUCUGUUGAGCUUGUCUCAGACGGGCGGUGGUGGCACAUUUCAGCACAGCCUCCGUCUGCUUCCUGUGGCAUUGUACGACUAACUAACCCGGAGUUACCACCCAGCGCCGGCCUCCUCCUCAUCCUCACUGGGUACACAGAGCAGACAACAUGCAGUGUGGGCAUCGGCUCGGUGUAAAGAGCUCCAGCGAAAUUCACCCACAGUCUCUGAAGUUUCCGCCAGCUGACUUUUUAGGUCAGACAGGAACAAGGUUUAAUCAGAGCCGAGAUAAAAGCUGACUGACGACACUCCUGUAUGCUCCUCUACUCCACCCCACCACCCUCGCUAUUCCCUCAUGUUUCCUCAUCCGACUUCUUAACUUCCAAUCGUUAACGUUCGGCAGCAGGGAGGAGGAUGCAGCUUUUUGGUUCCAUGUUAUGCUGCAAACAGAACUUGUGUUUGUCUCAGCAGAUGAAUGUACAGAUGGACACAGAUGGAUAUUGUAUCUCCAUGGUUCAGUGGUGGGAGACGGGAUUUGGUUUGUUUGUGUGUGUGUGUGUGUGUGUGUGUGUGCACAUUUGUCUGAGUGUAAAACAUCACGAACAGCAUCAAGUGUGUGUUGUGGUUUUGUGAGAGUUUUUUUUUCAUCUUUUCUUUUCCUCUGUCUUCUCGCACCCUGGAUUACCCAGAAUGCCUUUGCUCCCUGGCAGCAUGGAGGUCUGCUGAGUUUGCCUUCAUGCACACAGAGAGAGAGAGAGAGAGAAUGAGAGAGCGAGAGAGAACGAGAGAGAGAGAGAGAGAGAGAAAACAGGACAAAGCAGAGAUUAUGAGUGUGCAAGUGUGAGUCUUUGUGUGUGUGUGUGUGUGUGGCAGUGAGUGUGAGAGCACUUAAUGUUUGUUUGUGCAGGAAAAGUAGAACAGGGGGAGGAAAAAAUCUACCUGACCUGCUGACAGAGCAGUAUUUCCCAAAUACAGCAACAACAAGAAAAAAAAACAAAAAAACACAACACACAGGAUAUAUCCCUUCCCCCAAACCCAACACCGCCCUCCAUCUAUGGAAAACAACAACACUGCACAACACUAACUCUGCCGGUCCUCACAGUCUCUCUUGAUUAUGACAAAUCAGAUUGACUCAAAUGACAUUAGAAAAUCAGGAUGACUCACACCGUGAAGGAUUCACGAAGCCGAUUCAGAAGAGAGCUGGUGAAUCCUUUUCCAAAUUGUCCUUAAGACACCUAUAAGCUGUGGGAGCCGCAUGGUUUGCAUAGCGACACUUCGGCUGUUAUAUUUAAGAUAUAAUAUGUUGGAUUUCUACAUUAAAGAUAUCUAAAAUAA
Molecule: long non-coding RNA, 1331 nt
Organism: Scatophagus argus
Lineage: Eukaryota; Metazoa; Chordata; Actinopteri; Scatophagidae
Exons: 2
Source: RefSeq, a predicted model, not a curated record